This 253-nucleotide ribosomal RNA is filed under the name uncultured bacterium. RNAcentral's name for it is "partial 16S ribosomal RNA". It matches the Rfam family "Bacterial small subunit ribosomal RNA", at positions 524 to 776 of the family's 1533-position model. The record is from RNAcentral.
UACGUAGGGCGCAAGCGUUAUCCGGAAUUAUUGGGCGUAAAGAGCUCGUAGGCGGUUUGUCGCGUCUGCCGUGAAAGUCCGGGGCUCAACCCCGGGCCUGCAGUGGGUACGGGCAGACUAGAGUGCGGUAGGGGAGACUGGAAUUCCUGGUGUAGCGGUGAAAUGCGCAGAUAUCAGGAGGAACACCGGUGGCGAAGGCGGGUCUCUGGGCCGUAACUGACGCUGAGGAGCGAAAGCAUGGGGAGCGAAUAGG